ACACGCGGAGAGGAAGUUACACGCACCUUAGCACCAGGAGUUCCAAGAGGAUUAGCGGGGGCCCCCAGCUGCAGACCAUCGCGCCUCAGAAUCUCAGAGUAACGUUCACCUUGGAAUACCAGAGUCGACCGUUGGAGCUGCUGCGUCGCCGCCACCUGAGUGACGUGGGAGUGUUCAAAGGUGGCCUGCGCAGAACCAGACAAGAACUUUACAUCAUUAUCCUCUAUAUUAUAAUCUACUGUACUAUAGAAAGCCUUCUUUGUCAAAUACCAUGGGAUUGCUGAUCAUACCUUUAUUAAUUAACUGUUAUACUGAU
Molecule: long non-coding RNA, 316 nt
Organism: Leptidea sinapis
Lineage: Eukaryota; Metazoa; Arthropoda; Insecta; Lepidoptera; Pieridae
Exons: 3
Source: RefSeq, a predicted model, not a curated record